CAAUCUCCUAGUGUUGAUGAACCAGUCUAUACUCUUGAUAUUUAUGAUCCAAGAAAUUGGGAUAAUCUUGAAAAUAAAGCAAGAGAUGUAUUAGUUGAGAAAGGGCCAAUGAGAGAGGAAGAGGAUAAAAUGGAAUACCGUGUAGAUGAUGCAGGAAGACAUUUUUCCUAUGCUCACUAUCAUAGGAAAUUAAGCAAU
Molecule: ribosomal RNA, 198 nt
Filed under: Triticum aestivum (bread wheat)
Lineage: Eukaryota; Viridiplantae; Streptophyta; Magnoliopsida; Poales; Poaceae
Description: partial small subunit ribosomal RNA
Source: RNAcentral